This 72-nucleotide transfer RNA is filed under the name Promethearchaeota archaeon. Its description in RNAcentral is "tRNA-Ala". It matches the Rfam family "tRNA". From Rfam's summary of the family: Transfer RNA (tRNA) molecules are approximately 80 nucleotides in length. Lineage: Archaea; Promethearchaeati; Promethearchaeota. The record is from RNAcentral. RNAcentral also lists the same sequence under 1 other name.
GGGCUUGUGGUUUAGUGGUAUAACGCACGGUUCGCAUCCGUGAAAUCGGGGGUUCAAUUCCCCCCAAGUCCA